UCAGGAUGAACGCUGGCGGCGUGCCUAAUACAUGCAAGUCGAACGAAUCUCUUUUAGAGAUGAGUGGCGAACGGGUGAGUAAUACAUAGGUAACCUGCCCCUGUGCGGGGGAUAACAGGAGGAAACUCCUGCUAAUACCGCAUAGCCAUGAGCACCGCAUGGAGCUCAUGCCAAAUAUCCUUUCGGGGAUAGCGCAGGGAUGGACCUAUGGCGCAUUAGCUUGUUGGCGGGGCAACGGCCCACCAAGGCAACGAUGCGUAGCCGGCCUGAGAGGGCGGACGGCCACAUUGGGACUGAGACACGGCCCAGACUCCUACGGGAGGCAGCAGUAGGGAAUUUUCGGCAAUGGGGGAAACCCUGACCGAGCAACGCCGCGUGAGCGAAGAAGGCCUUCGGGUCGUAAAGCUCUGUUGUAAAGGAAGAACGGCGCAUACAGGAAAUGGUAUGCGAGUGACGGUACUUUACCAGAAAGCCACGGCUAACUACGUGCCAGCAGCCGCGGUAAUACGUAGGUGGCGAGCGUUAUCCGGAAUCAUUGGGCGUAAAGAGGGAGCAGGCGGCCGCAAGGGUCUGUGGUGAAAGACCGAAGCUAAACUUCGGUAAGCCAUGGAAACCGGGCGGCUAGAGUGCGGAAGAGGAUCGUGGAAUUCCAUGUGUAGCGGUGAAAUGCGUAGAUAUAUGGAGGAACACCAGUGGCGAAGGCGACGGUCUGGGCCGCAACUGACGCUCAUUCCCGAAAGCGUGGGGAGCAAAUAGGAUUAGAUACCCUAGUAGUCCACGCCGUAAACGAUGGUCACUAAGUGUCGGGGGUCAAACCCCGGUGCUGCAGUCAACGCAAUAAGUGACCCGCCUGAGUAGUACGUUCGCAAGAAUGAAACUCAAAGGAAUUGACGGAAG
Molecule: ribosomal RNA, 897 nt
Filed under: uncultured bacterium
Lineage: Bacteria
Description: bacterial SSU rRNA
Rfam family: Bacterial small subunit ribosomal RNA
Source: RNAcentral